Molecule: non-coding RNA, 354 nt
Organism: Smithella sp. F21
Lineage: Bacteria; Pseudomonadati; Thermodesulfobacteriota; Syntrophia; Syntrophales; Smithellaceae
Rfam family: transfer-messenger RNA
About the family: Bacterial tmRNA, also known as 10Sa RNA or SsrA, is named for its dual tRNA and mRNA-like properties.
Source: Rfam
GGGGGCGUAACGGUUUCGACGGGGACAUUUGAAGUUGUAGAAGCGUGCCGAGGUUCCUACAGGCCUCGUUAAACAGGUAGGAAACAUAUAAUCGCAGACAACUACGAUUACGCUUUAGCCGCUUAGACGGCUAACGUUCCACAAGGCCUGCCUGUCGGCUGAACUGGAACGUCAUUAAAGACAGGAUAGCCAAACUUCAUGCCUGGGGGAGGGCGGCGAAACCUUACAGGAUAGCGCGGUGAGAUCCGGCCUUAGGGAGCAAGCCAGCGUGAAGGUUCUAAAACGAAGGCUACGCACGUAGAAGCUCCAGCGGAAGGUUUUCGGACGCGGGUUCAAUUCCCGCCGCCUCCACCA